Molecule: ribosomal RNA, 324 nt
Filed under: uncultured eukaryote
Lineage: Eukaryota
Description: partial 18S ribosomal RNA
Rfam family: Eukaryotic small subunit ribosomal RNA
Source: RNAcentral
CCCUUCGAUGUCCUGGGCUGCACGCGCGCUACACUGAUGUGUCCAGUAAGCACCUAACCUAUUCCGAGAGGAGCGGGUAACCUUAGCAAAGCACAUCGUGAUGGGGAUAGAUUAUUGCAAUUAUUAGUCUUGAACGAGGAAUUCCUAGUAAGCACAAGUCAUCAGCUUGUGUUGAUUACGUCCCUGCCCUUUGUACACACCGCCCGUCGCUCCUACCGAUUGAAUGUUCCGGUGAGCUCUUCGGACUGCGCGGUCUGCAGUUUCUGCGUUCCGUGCGGAAAGUUGUGCAAACCUUAACAUUUAGAGGAAGGAGAAGUCGUAACA